CCUUGGGGAGAGGAAUUCAGCAAGAAUGAGAAACAAACUCCGAGUGUAGACCACAAUCAAAAUUCUAAUUUUAUAGAAACAGUUAUUUAUUCAGGGGUCUAUAAUAAAAUGUCCUGCUCUGUACAACAGUCAGUAAGCCAACAUGCAAUAAGCUGAGCUAGAAAAACAAGUCAAAACAUAAAAUAAAAGAGAAAACAUGACAAACACUGUUUUCACACACAUGUACAAACUAAAUGUGAGAAGACACAAUGAAGAUUCUCCAUUAAUAAAUAAGUGAUAUAAGUAAAACCAAAAUAAGAUAGAUGGCAAAAGGUCAGUGACUAGGCUAAUAAAAUUCCCAAACAAUUAAAACGUCAACAAUUAAAAAUGAAUGCAUGCAGUGAACAUCCCAGAGAGGGCUGGGCGAGGAGACAAAGACAGCAGAGUCACUGUAUGAAAACACAGGAGGAUACUCCCUGCUUCAGCAGUUUCCCCAAUGUACACAAUAUGAAUAAAACCAAUAAAACAAACCCCCGACCACACAGCCAAUCUAAACCUUCCCCAGCGUUAUGAUAUACAAUUACAGUACCACAGGAGAAAGUCGUGCAGCUUCGGCCUUGCUUGCUCUGGAACUGUUGACUGGAAUCGCCAGCUGUCUUUUUAAUGAGACGCUGACUUUUCUUUCAGUUAGGGUGUUAGGGUGGCUCACCAGCAGCUCACCGGCAGACCAAAUAGAGAGUGUGAACAGGGACAGACACAGAUAAGACAUGUGAGAAGUCUUUGGGGUGUAAACAAUAUAUAUUCUGUUGUGCCUUUUAUGAGGUUUCCUUUAUAAAGCGAAGACAGUGCUUUUCUAAAAGCACGUCUCAGGGUGAUGUCAGUGUUUCACUACAUGUGGAGUCACUGAUAGUUUUACAGGGUGCAUUAGUCAUUUAGUGAGUAAUGUGAGCUUAGCUUUAUUCUGGGUAACUGGACUUCUUUUACUGGAACUUGUAAAUUGUAUUGUAAAACAUGACUGCAAAUUUUGAUGGGGAAUAGACAAAAAGGGAGAAUACUAAAUAGAGUAAUAUAAAAUCUUAUUACAAAUAAUAAAAUAUUAGAUUGAUAAGUCAACAGUUACAAUCUCUUGUAUAUAUAUAUAUAUAUAUGUAUAUAUAUAUACAUAUAUAUAUGACCAUUAUGGAUAACAUUAAUGACAAUGAUAAUAUGGGGUCCAGCCCAAUAAUCUAAAGCCUGUUUAUAUAAUAAACAAGAAGAUGAUGGAUGUCUAUUUUUUUUUCAGGGGUAUUGCAGGAUGAGGGGACACAUCAGCUGGCAGUGUCACUUGUUCAGAGGAGCAGAGAGCACAGAGUAGUAGCCAGGGGGAGUGAAGCGGUGUCUUUUAUGGUGAGAGUUGUAUUCCACUCGAAUUCAAACCACAGGGUGUCAGUGAGCCUCAGGGACCCCCGGACCUCUGGUAUGUUCACACGAUCCUGACCACCAUUGAGACUCUUUAUCACACUGUAUUCCAUUAUUUGCUGUAUGUAUGUGGGGUUUUUUUGUAUGAUAGCUUGAAGGCAUGGUUUGUAUUAGAAGUAGGCUCUUUCUCCUUAUUUUUACAUAUUUUACAUAUUUUGAUUUUUUGACUUGAUUUCUAAUUGCAGUUUCUCUUAUUUCUCACAAUUUCUAGAGAGAUGAGGCUGAGCCAAUAGGGAAAUGACUAAAGAAAAUAACAAAUUAUUACUUUUUUAUGAUUUGUGGAUAUAACAAUUCUAAAUAUAUAACAAUGAAAAAUAGGCAUUAGAAGUAAAGGCAUCACAAAGAGGAUGGGGUAUGGCAACAGGUGGGAAAUAAUAGCCUGUAGCUGGCCAAGAAGUUUUACUGUGGACGUGAUAUUUUUGUAAAAUCUUGGUAAAAGUGUGACUUUUUGAUGAAUCAUCUGCAAGCGGACCACUUCCAGGUUUGAGGACAUGAAGUGAAUGCUAAUAGGGGCUUUUCUAGUGCACGUCCAGCACUUGGCAGAGCCUUACUUCCACUUACUGCAAAUGGAAGGGCAAUGGUCAAGUUUCAUUUGUAUUUGCAUUUGGAUGUAAACCUACAAAAUGAAAAUGGUUGUGGUCCUUAUAGAACCCUACAGGUUUUGAGCUAUGCCACUAGCAUGCUCUGGAGACGGCAGCACCUAUUUGGUUGACUACAGUUAAUCUGUCAGUCUAAAAGUCUGGCCCAGGGAAUUAUUGGAUCAACUAUUGGAUGGCAGAGGCCAUCAAAGUUUUUUUUUUUGUUUUUUUUUUUUUUUUUUGGAUGGUGAGUUAAUAUAUCGUUUAUAUUGUUAAUAUAUAUACAACUUUAGUCAUAUAGAAUUCAGGAGAAUAAAUUAGAAUAAAUAUGUAAGAGGAAAAUGUUGAUACUCCCAGCAGCUUCAUAUUACCCCCCCCCUGUCAUUAUACCUUUGUCCACCUGCUGGCUUGCUUAAUUGUUAACCUCUGUGGCUCCUAGAUGCCAUCCAUAUUGCCAUUGCCUAAUCAGUGUUUCUCAUGAAUUAACCACUUGAAUACCAAGCAUACAGUGUACAUGACUUCCCAUGUUGUAACCACAAGCUCACAAAUGCCAUUUGAAGGCAGCAUAUGUGUCACUUUUAGCUCAGAGAACGUAUGUGUGUCAAUAAAACUAGCAGUGCUCUACAGGAAAGCAGCAAAGUCUGUAAAGUUUCCCAGAGUUUGCAUCCUUGGUAAGCUUGUUUAGACAUAAGCUGUAGAGAAACUCAAAAGCUGUUGCAUGCAGUUUUAAGUUACUGUCUUUUGUAUCUGUUAAAGUUGCAUAUGCAACUUGAAUUUUCGUUAUUUUAAAAAGCUUAAUACAUAAUUUAAUGUGUAGUGUAUAAGUAUGCAAAGCCAGGGCUACACUGAUAACUGUGUCCAGCUUCAUUAGGUGAAAUGCCUCAUGAGCAGCAGUUCGUGCUUAUUUUGUAGUUUUCACUGUGCUGGAAAUGUUUCCUCAUGACAGAAGAAUAAAAUACUGUACCUGAGACCAGAGACCGAUCUGCUGUAAUUUGAUGCAGCUACACAUAUUUUAUUAGCUAGUGUUGAGGAAUUGCCAAACACAAACUUGCUAUUCAUAAUCAGUAUAUAAACUAUACAAUAGCAGGACACUAUGCUCAACUGCAUUUUGGAGCACUGAAAAAAAUCUCUCCCUCUCACAGAGGAGGAGAUACUGUCAAUAGAUUGCUGUGUUGUCCAUUCCAGUGUAUUAAAUAGAUGUUAGACAUUAACCAAUAUUUUUUAUGAGGCAGGAAAUGUAUCAUGGAGCUGGAGCCAGUCCCAGUUGACACUGGGCGAGGGGCGGGGUACACCAGAUGGCCAGUCAAUCACAGGGCUGACAUGUAUAGACAAACAACCACUCACACUCACACCUAUAGGGAAUUUAGAGUCACCAGUUGACCCAAGCAUGUCUUUGGACUGUGGUGGGAAGCCAGAGUACCUGGAAGAAACAUAAACAGGUGAACUCCAAACCAGGGUUCGAACUCUGAACCUUCUUGCUGUGAGGUGAUAGUGCUAACCACUACACCACCGCGCCACAUCUAUAAAGACAGUGUGAAUGGAAAUAUGAGGAAAAUUCCACUGGCGCUGUUAAUUUAAUCCACAAGUUCCCUUGGUUCUUUUGGUACCAUCAUAAAGGCUGUUAGAGGAUCCUAACAGCCACCUGACAGCCUGGAGGGAAAAGCUUUACUGAGUCUGUCUGAUCUGAGAUCAGCUGUGCUUCCCCACAGUCUUGGUCACCCUGUAGUGAUGUCACAUACAGCAUGACCUCACUGUGAGAGGAGAGAAAAGACUAAAGAACUACACUGAAGACAUCACUACCCUCACCCCCAUCAUUGUCAUCACCAGUAAAACCAGUGCGACCAUCUUCAUCACUAUCAUCGUCUUCAUCAUUGUCAUCAUCAGCACCACUGAAACCAGUGCAAUAAUCAUCUUCAUCACUGUUAAUAUCUUCACCACUAACAUCACCUUCAUCACUAUUAUUAUCCUGAUCACUCUCAUCACCACCAGUAAAACCAGUGCGACCAUCAUCUUCAUCAUUACUAUCAUUUUAAUCACCGUCAUCACUAUCACCAUCUUCAUUACUGUCAUCAGUGCCAUCAACACCACUGCCAUCAUCAUCAUCACUGUCUAUGUCUUCAUCACUAUCAUCUUCAUCACUGUCAUCAACACCAGUAAAACCAGUGCGACCAUCAUCAUCAUCACUAUCAUCGAUCUUCAUCGUUGUCAUCAUCAGCACCACUGAAACCAGUGCAAUAAUCAUCUUCAUCCCUGUCAUCAAUACCAGUACCACCACUACUCUCAUCAUCAUCACUAUUAUUAUCCUGAUCAUUGUCAUUAACAGCAGUAAAAUCAGUGCAACCAUCAUCUUCAUCACUGUCAUCAAUGCCAGUAAUAUCAUGAUAGUCAUCAGCAUCAUCUUCAUCACUGUCUUCAUCACUAACAUCAUCUACAUCACCAUCAGUACUAUUAACUCCACUACUGUCGUCAUCAUCACCACCACCUCUUCUGACAUCAUUAUCACAGCUGAACCUCCAUCAUCAUCAUUCCAGUAAAAACAAAGCAAUCCAUUCUUCUUGCUUUACGGCCUGCUGCUUUACUUUUAUUAAGGGCGCAGCAUCACAUUUCUCCGGGACGCGCACUGGCCGCCGUGAGCGCGCAGAGGCGCCAUCACGUGGGAGGUCCCUUUAAGUUUCCACUGACAGAGGCCUGAGCGUGUCACAUGGACAUGAUAUAAUGAAAGGGCAGGAACAGAGAGCCAGAGUGCGCUGAGCUCUUGGCUGAUGGAGAACGGGCCGAGACGCAUGCAGUCAUCUGCCGACAACCAGCAGCCCUGUGGGGAAGAGGGACAGAAGGGCCGAGGCGAGCCGAGCCCAGCCGAUCCUGGCCGGAAUGGGCCGAGCCGGACUCACUGCGCUUCAUCGGACGGGACCUCUCUAUUCGCAGUUGCACCUGCCAGCUAUGACACGCACUUUAAAAAGAGGAGGAAAAUGUCGCCUGGCCCCGGAGCAGAAGAGGAGCGUCGUUCAGCGCACAGAGGCACAGAGGCAGGCAGACAGACAGAUGGACAGACGGAGCAGCAGGGAGGAUGACAUCACCAUCACCGUGGGGCUCUGUUUUGGCAUGUCAACUCCCGGGAGAGAAUAGGACAGGGAGCUAGAGUGAGCGCCGACAACAAGGAAGAAACAGGAGGUGUAUGUGUGUGUGUUUGUGUACCCCUCACUAACUCCUGCAGAGGGUAUGCCUCUACUGUUUCCAUUUCAUUUUAGUUUCUUUUAGCCCAGUUUUGACCCUUACAAAACCUUUGAACAAACGGAUCGCUUUUCAAACUGUGCUCAGACCCUCUGCUAUGACAAGAAUGAAACAUUAAAGUAUUGCGAGCAUUUCAUGGCCAUGGACAGACUCAUCCCUCCCUCUGUUAUCUCUACCUGCUUAUCCAGUGCAGGCUCUUGAGACAGGGUGAGAGACAGGGUAUCAUAUCACACGCUGCUUUUGUGCACUCUAGCAUUUCCAGGUGAGACCUCUGUUAACAGUUGAACACCCGAACAAAAGAAAAGCUACUAAAUCUCCUCUUCCUCUUUUGUUUAAGAUGACAGGGUGUCCUUAACUUUGCUGGCACGUAGCCUCCCACCCUCACUGGGCAGCUUACAUCAUUGUUUUGCCAGUAAGCUCUGUUUACCCUGUGCACACUAGAACACCAAGUUUGCAUAAGAUGCAAGGUAUUGGGGGAAAACUUAGUUCUGGAGGGAGAAAAAUGACAUUUUAGUCUGGAUGGAGGGCUGAAGUGAAGUGAGAUGUUCCCAUCAUCACCUGCAUCAGUUUCCAUCCACUGAUCUAUCUGCUGUGUUGUGCUAUUUAUUCCCCCAGAAUUAGAACUAGUUUGUGUAUCUGACAGCACUGCUGCUGCACAGCUGACCCUGACCUUUGACCUCAACAAACUAGAGACAGGAGAGAUGAGGAUUUUACCUGGAUAAACAGUCAGUCUUAGCACCCGCUUUUAGAUGUCAAGUCGCCCUCUUGUGCCUAUAUGUGGAAUUACAGGAUUCAGGCAGUGUGAUAAACCACAUCAUAUGACACCCAUCCAUCAAACACCUGUAAGAGCCACUACUACAAUGCAAAAUUGACUGACAAGCCUGGUCAGUUGCAUAGGUUUUUGUGCUGUGACAUGAGACACUCUGGUGGUAAAAUCUGACUUAUUUAAGCCUGUCAAGCUCUGGAUGUUAAAGCAGUUUGCAUGGGCUAUAGGGAAAACAAUACUCUGUAUUUUAAGGGUCUGUAUUGUACCUUUUGUUUAGACCCAUCCACAUUAAGCUGGUUAAAUUUGUAAACACAUCUUUUUCUCACCAUUUUAACAAGUUUCUGUCUUUCUCUGUAAUCAUGUGUUUUAAAUGUUGGUGUUAGAACUAUAAGCUAAUGAUUUGGAAAGCCAGACUCUGUCCUACUCCGCACCGGAUGUUGGCUGGGAUGCACGGUGUUGUUAUUUGCAAAAUGAAAAGAGGAGGAACUAGAGGAUUAACAGGUUUUAUGUUGAGCAGGUGUUUCCCUGUGAACAGAGCUCUCCACCAAAAUAACUUGGAAGCGUUAAUGUGUAAGUGCCAGGAUUAAAUAAUGUUUAAUUUAUCUGCACAGUUACUGUGUAGUAAAUGCAUACAAUACAUGCAUACCAUUUACUUUUGUAAUGCUACCAGUUUACAUAAGCUAAGCAGUCAAACAGGGUUUUUCAAUUUCAUACAACUACACUGCAAUACAAGAACAAUGCUGUUUCUUUAUGUCGGUGUCUUCAACAUGGAAAUAUAGACUGGUGUUGAUGCUUGUUAGCUUAUUUAGCCUCUGACUUUUAGCACAUUAACAAUGGUGCAAGUGCAUAUUUAAGAUUCUUUUGCAGGAAUCUGCGAGUUACCUCAGACCAUAUUUUCAAGCAACACGUGGAACUAAUAUUAUCUUAAUUGACUAGCUAACUACAGCUGAACAGUUGUAGCUGACUAGAAGCACAUUUGUGUGAAAUCAAGGACUGGAGUGGUAAAUUGGCCACCAUUAUCACUGUAAGCUGCAGAAGUGAACAAACUCACAGAUUUACCACUUUUUUAACAGUUGUUGAAGUAUACUGUUGUGUGUACAUGCACACCUGCAGGACAGGUAGAGUCAGUUGCAUUCAAUGUCACAUAGGUGUAGCUCAAGGGAAGUUAAAUGAGCUCUUGUUACUCUAAAGGGUUGUGGAUUCAUACUCCAUAAAUACAUGUUACUAACUUGAUGUCCUUUCCUGUAGUUUUGUUCUCUUUUGUCUCUCUCUCCUCUUCUGUCUCUUUCUGCAGGUAUUUCUGCCUCUGGAGCUGUAGAGUCUGAUCUGUGAUGACAAAUCUCCUGCUGCUCCUACAACCAACAAAUUAUUAGUACUGCUUCUAGUAUUACUGCCACUAUUGUAAUUACUACUCCACUUGGAAUUACUAUUAUUACCCCUAUAGUGUUACUGAUACCACUUUGCAUUUUUACAUGGCAUCUGCAUUAUGGUAUGUUGUCCUGUCCCUACUCUCAACCCUAUUCUACCUCCCUACACGAUCAAUGAGUAGGUAUGAGGAUGUAAACACCAUGUCAUCAGUAUAUUUUAAGUCUAAAAUAACACCAUGCUUAGUAUGUAGCUGACAUCAUCUGGUAUGAAUUUCUCUUAACAUAGACGGUUCUGUCAUGCGCUCUCAGCCCUGUCUGCUGUGAUGUCUUUCUGUUUGAAUUCCUCUCUGCUGCUGGAGGUGAAUUUUCAUGUGCCAGCCACUGCCAUGACAACCAAAUACAUGUUUAAGAAGAAGCACUGUCAUGUUUCUCCUCAUCUGACAGGACAACUCAUCCUCUGACAGACUGACACAAGAGUGAUGUCAGUAUGACUGAACCAACCUGACAUCUGUGUGUGUUUUCGAUGCAUGACUGACUGAUCCAUGUUCUUGUGUUUGCAUUACUUACAUUACUGUGUUGAAAUGUGAUAAGGAAUGGGUUUUAUUAUUUAUAGUAUCUGUUAUAUGUAGUAUUUAUUAUUAGAAGCAGUAGCAGUAGUUUUGGUCUGUACCAGAUUCUUGACACAGCCAUGACAAAUUAUACAUAGUUUGAAAGCUCUAUAGAUUUCAUAAGACUGCACCACCUAAUGUGCCGCCCAGGAACCACCAUAGCGUCUAUCAUUUCAGUUUUUCACUACUGCUUUCUCCUGUUGUUUAGCCAUCACCACUCAGAUGUACCUGUACGCUAUGUCAGUCAUUUGAUUAUGGCGCUCCAUGUGUGCUUUCAGUCCAGGUUUUUCCAGCCACUGGUAGGAUUUCUUGGCAUCAGCCACUUCUAUCAGUCAGUGAUACAUGCCGUGCAGAGGCUUGUCCUCCUCCUCCUCAUCAUCACUGGGUUUCUGCUGCCCGAGGUAUUCACUUACAGUUCAUCGUUGGGGGCCAUUUCUCCUGAUAUACUCCUGUAUCUUUAUAACAAAACCAACAUCCAGCUUGUAUUCAAGUUCCUGCUUCUUAUGUAGAUAGUGAAAUGAAAUAAAAUAAUAGUGUAAAACAUAACACAUAAUUGUCACUCCCUGCCAUUGGUCCAUCUCACCGCUGCAGCUGUGGUUGAACACCAAAACAUCUUCCCCCAGAAGCUGGUUUCACGUGGUGGUUUAGAUGUGUGUUUCUGUUGUCUAGCACCAUUUGAAAUCAGUGUUCUUGGUGACAGUAGGACAGCUCUGGCAGUUGGUGAGCCUUAGAAGACGAGCACAGGAUAGCCCCCCCCCCCCCCCCCCUUUCUCCACUAAAAGAUAACUGAUUUCCUCUGGUGCUUAGAGUCCGCUGCAGCCUUCUAGCACCAUUUGAAAUCGGUUAUAAAACUGUGGAUCAAUGCGUGAUGUUAGUCUUCAGCAGAACAACCAGAGGAAAGUAACUAUUGGCUUCCUGAGCUGGAAGAGAUCACGCCAUAAUUUGAAGGAGAGUCAUAAAUGUUUUUGUUAACUUCUGCCAUUCAUGAAUAACAACUUGAUCUCAGCUCGAAUAAAUAUAUUUUACUUGUAUUUGUUGAAAAA
This is a long non-coding RNA of Lates calcarifer (barramundi perch), 9030 nucleotides long. RefSeq lists it as uncharacterized. The record is from RefSeq and is a predicted model, not a curated record. NCBI's taxonomy places the organism in Eukaryota, Metazoa, Chordata, Actinopteri, Centropomidae. The transcript is spliced from 2 exons.